RNAcentral lists this ribosomal RNA (1507 nucleotides) under Escherichia coli. RNAcentral describes it as "bacterial LSU rRNA". It matches the Rfam family "Bacterial large subunit ribosomal RNA", at positions 398 to 1890 of the family's 2925-position model. Lineage: Bacteria; Pseudomonadati; Pseudomonadota; Gammaproteobacteria; Enterobacterales; Enterobacteriaceae. The record is from RNAcentral.
UGUGAGCUCGAUGAGUAGGGCGGGACACGUGGUAUCCUGUCUGAAUAUGGGGGGACCAUCCUCCAAGGCUAAAUACUCCUGACUGACCGAUAGUGAACCAGUACCGUGAGGGAAAGGCGAAAAGAACCCCGGCGAGGGGAGUGAAAAAGAACCUGAAACCGUGUACGUACAAGCAGUGGGAGCACGCUUAGGCGUGUGACUGCGUACCUUUUGUAUAAUGGGUCAGCGACUUAUAUUCUGUAGCAAGGUUAACCGAAUAGGGGAGCCGAAGGGAAACCGAGUCUUAACUGGGCGUUAAGUUGCAGGGUAUAGACCCGAAACCCGGUGAUCUAGCCAUGGGCAGGUUGAAGGUUGGGUAACACUAACUGGAGGACCGAACCGACUAAUGUUGAAAAAUUAGCGGAUGACUUGUGGCUGGGGGUGAAAGGCCAAUCAAACCGGGAGAUAGCUGGUUCUCCCCGAAAGCUAUUUAGGUAGCGCCUCGUGAAUUCAUCUCCGGGGGUAGAGCACUGUUUCGGCAAGGGGGUCAUCCCGACUUACCAACCCGAUGCAAACUGCGAAUACCGGAGAAUGUUAUCACGGGAGACACACGGCGGGUGCUAACGUCCGUCGUGAAGAGGGAAACAACCCAGACCGCCAGCUAAGGUCCCAAAGUCAUGGUUAAGUGGGAAACGAUGUGGGAAGGCCCAGACAGCCAGGAUGUUGGCUUAGAAGCAGCCAUCAUUUAAAGAAAGCGUAAUAGCUCACUGGUCGAGUCGGCCUGCGCGGAAGAUGUAACGGGGCUAAACCAUGCACCGAAGCUGCGGCAGCGACGCUUAUGCGUUGUUGGGUAGGGGAGCGUUCUGUAAGCCUGCGAAGGUGUGCUGUGAGGCAUGCUGGAGGUAUCAGAAGUGCGAAUGCUGACAUAAGUAACGAUAAAGCGGGUGAAAAGCCCGCUCGCCGGAAGACCAAGGGUUCCUGUCCAACGUUAAUCGGGGCAGGGUGAGUCGACCCCUAAGGCGAGGCCGAAAGGCGUAGUCGAUGGGAAACAGGUUAAUAUUCCUGUACUUGGUGUUACUGCGAAGGGGGGACGGAGAAGGCUAUGUUGGCCGGGCGACGGUUGUCCCGGUUUAAGCGUGUAGGCUGGUUUUCCAGGCAAAUCCGGAAAAUCAAGGCUGAGGCGUGAUGACGAGGCACUACGGUGCUGAAGCAACAAAUGCCCUGCUUCCAGGAAAAGCCUCUAAGCAUCAGGUAACAUCAAAUCGUACCCCAAACCGACACAGGUGGUCAGGUAGAGAAUACCAAGGCGCUUGAGAGAACUCGGGUGAAGGAACUAGGCAAAAUGGUGCCGUAACUUCGGGAGAAGGCACGCUGAUAUGUAGGUGAGGUCCCUCGCGGAUGGAGCUGAAAUCAGUCGAAGAUACCAGCUGGCUGCAACUGUUUAUUAAAAACACAGCACUGUGCAAACACGAAAGUGGACGUAUACGGUGUGACGCCUGCCCGGUGCCGGAAGGUUAAUUGAUGGGGU